This 860-nucleotide ribosomal RNA is filed under the name uncultured bacterium. RNAcentral describes it as "bacterial SSU rRNA". It matches the Rfam family "Bacterial small subunit ribosomal RNA", at positions 632 to 1504 of the family's 1533-position model. The record is from RNAcentral.
AACUUUCAGCUAGAGUAUGAUAGAGGAAAGCAGAAUUCUAGUGUAGAGGUGAAAUUCGUAGAUAUUAGAAAGAAUACCAAUUGCGAAGGCAGCUUUCUGGAUCAUUACUGACACUGAGGAACGAAAGCAUGGGUAGCGAAGAGGAUUAGAUACCCUCGUAGUCCAUGCCGUAAACGAUGUGUGUUAGACGUUGGAAAUUUAUUUUCAGUGUCGCAGGGAAACCGAUAAACACACCGCCUGGGGAGUACGACCGCAAGGUUAAAACUCAAAUGAAUUGACGGGGACCCGCACAAGUAGUGGAGCAUGUGGUUUAAUUCGAAGAUACGCGCAGAACCUUACCAACACUUGACAUGUUCGUCGCGACUCUAAGAGAUUAGAGUUUUCGGUUCGGCCGGACGAAACACAGGUGCUGCAUGGCUGUCGUCAGCUCGUGUCGUGAGAUGUUGGGUUAAGUCCCGCAACGAGCGCAACCCUCACUUUUAGUUGCCAUCAUUAAGUUGGGCACUCUGAAAGAACUGCCAGUGAUAAGCUGGAGGAAGGUGGGGAUGACGUCAAGUCCUCAUGGCCCUUACGUGUUGGGCUACACACGUGCUACAAUGGUAUCUACAACAGGAAGCAAGACUGCGAAGUUAAGCAAAUCCCUAAAAGAUACCUCAGUUCGGAUUGCACUCUGCAACUCGAGUGCAUGAAGCUGGAAUUACUAGUAAUCGUGGAUCAGCGUGCCACGGUGAAUGCGUUCCCGGGUCUUGUACACACCGCCCGUCACACCAUGGGAGUUGGUUCUACCUUAAGGCAAGGUUUCAAACCCUUGACCACGGUAUAGUCAGCGACUGGGGUGAAGUCGUAACAAGGUAACCGUA